UUUAGCCUAUUCUUUUUUAUAGUCGUUUUAGUUAUUUAAGAAAUUUUGUAAAAUUUAAAGAGAUUUGGAAAAAGUUAACAUGCUAAAAAUUGGGUUCAAAUAGUAUCUUGUACGAUAGACUCUUUUAUUUUAUACGUGUAUGAAAUAGAUGGUUUUAACUAUAUUUUUGGCAUGUUAAGUUUUUUUUUAAAAUUUUUUAAAAUUUUGUAGAAUGCCAUAAAAAGCUAUAACGUAGACGAACAUAAAAAAAAAAUUAAACUAAUUUUUUUUUUCUAAAUGUUGGAAUAGAUAGAUAGGGUACAUCAGUAGACCCUUUUAAGGUGCGUUGUACAAAUUUUUAAAUAUAUAUUGAAAUAGUAAAAGGUAGCACCAUAAGAUUAUAAUUAAGUAUUGGAUCUCACAUAUUUUUAAUUGGUUAAUUAAGAUUAAUUUUACUUAACUUUAAUAUGUACCAAAUUGUGUGAGUCAAAAUUUUUGAGGUUGUUAAAAAAAUUGUUGAAUUAUUGAGAUUAUUAAAUUUAAUAAUUUUCGUUCAAUUUUACUAACGGACACCUGACACGGAUAAAAAUUCUGGAGAUACGAUUUAGUAUAUGGGCAAUCACCAUAUUAAGCAUUUGUUAGUAAACUUGAAUGAAAUUAGGCAAAAGUCUUGAAUCUAAUAAUUUUAAUAAUUUGGUAAGAACUUUUAACGGCCUAAAAAGCUCAAGUUGUACGAUUUGGUAAAGUUAAAGUUCGAAAAAAAAUUAUAAAUAACUUUUUCAAUUUAAUACUUAAAAUUAAAAAAUUGCUAAUUAUUUAUAAAAUAACACCUCCUCAUAGUGUUAGGUAAAAUUGAUGUUUAAUUAGUAUAAUUUAUUAUUUUGAGGCAAUAAGACUUUCAUUAGGGAAGAGGUGGGAGUGUAGUGUGGGACUUAAAUAUAAAUAUAAAUAUUAUUUAUUUUUUUUUAUGUUUUUUCUUUGGAAGAAGUAUUGAUUUAUAUAAUAUACAUGUUAUAGAUUUUGUUUUGGAUCAUACAUAAUUUAUUUAUUUAAAGCUAUGAUUUAAAUAUGUGUUUAAGAUUGCAAUGUAUGAAUAAACAAAUUAUGAUAAUUUAUUAUUAAAAAAAUAUCAUUGAUCCAUAUUUAUUGGUUGAUCUGAUUCCUCAAGGAAUAAGAUCAAUUUCCCAUGAUAUAAUGUGUGUAUAUACACUAGCCAUGUUUGCAGUCUUUAAUUUUAUAAUUAAUGUUUAUUAAUAAAUCCAUUAGUGUUAGUUUGAAUCAAAAAUUGUAAGAAAAAAAUAACAUGAUGGUACAUAUACUUUUAAUAUAUAUUUUGUCUUUUGUAAUUAUGGGAUUAAAAAGUUCAUUUUUUUCAUGAUUAUUUAUCCUAUAAGAUAUUGAAUAUUGAUAUUAUUUACUUAUUAGUGAAAUAGUGAUAUAAUGUGUUUAUGAUAUAUUUAUUGUAAAUGGAAUAAUAUUAUUACAAUAGCCAAGUUCUCCUUGUAUAUAUAUAUAUAUAAAUAUAUUUCUACAAUAU
This is a long non-coding RNA of Cannabis sativa, 1516 nucleotides long. RefSeq lists it as uncharacterized. The record is from RefSeq and is a predicted model, not a curated record. The transcript is spliced from 2 exons. NCBI's taxonomy places the organism in Eukaryota, Viridiplantae, Streptophyta, Magnoliopsida, Rosales, Cannabaceae.